This 250-nucleotide ribosomal RNA is filed under the name uncultured archaeon. Its description in RNAcentral is "partial 16S ribosomal RNA". It matches the Rfam family "Archaeal small subunit ribosomal RNA", at positions 474 to 725 of the family's 1478-position model. The record is from RNAcentral.
CACCGGCGCCACAAGUGGGACCGCUUUACUUGGUCUAAAGCGUUCGUAGCCGGUUGUGUAAAUCUUUUGUGAAAUUGUCGUGCUUAACGCGACAGAUUGCAGAAGAAACUGCAUGACUCGAGACCGGAAGGGGUUUGGAGUAUUCCUUGGGGAGCGGUAAAAUGUUAUAAUCCUUGGAAGACUACCUGUGGCGAAGGCGCCAAACCAGUACGGGUCUGACGGUGAGGAACGAAAGCUAGGGGAGCGAUCC